Molecule: ribosomal RNA, 444 nt
Filed under: uncultured Deferribacteres bacterium
Lineage: Bacteria; Pseudomonadati; Deferribacterota; Deferribacteres
Description: bacterial SSU rRNA
Rfam family: Bacterial small subunit ribosomal RNA
Source: RNAcentral
CCUACGGGAGGCAGCAGUGGGGAAUUUUGCGCAAUGACCGAAAGGUUGACGCAGCAACGCCGCGUGUAUGAUGAAGGCUUUCGGGUCGUAAAGUACUUUCAGUGGGGAAGAACUGCAUAAUCAGUAACUGGGUUAUGAUUGACGGUACCCACAGAAGCAGCCCCGGCUAACUCCGUGCCAGCAGCCGCGGUAAUACGGAGGGGGCAAGCGUUGUUCGGAGUCACUGGGCGUAAAGAGCUCGUAGGCGGCAGUGUAAGUCGGGAGUUAAAGGCAACAGCUCAACUGUUGUAAGGCUUCUGAAACUACAUUGCUAGAGUGCCAGAGAGGUAUGCGGAAUUCCCUGUGUAGCGGUGAAAUGCGUAGAUAUAGGGAGGAACACCGGUUGCGAAGGCGGCAUACUGGCUGGUAACUGACGCUGAGGAGCGAAAGCGUGGGUAGCAAACA